AGCGAACGCCGGCGGCGUGCUUAACACAUGCAAGUCGAGCGAAGGUGUUUCAAGGGUAACCUUGAGAUACACUUAGCGGCGGACGGGUGAGUAAUACGUGGAUAACUUACCUCUAGGCCUGGGAUAACCCCGGGAAACUGGGGCUAAUACCUGAUAAGACCACAUUGUCUACGGACAAAGGGGUAAAAGGUGGCUGUGCAAACAGCUAUCGCCAAAAGAUAGGUUCACGUCCCAUCAGGCAGUUGGGAGGU
RNAcentral lists this ribosomal RNA (251 nucleotides) under uncultured bacterium. Its description in RNAcentral is "partial 16S ribosomal RNA". It matches the Rfam family "Bacterial small subunit ribosomal RNA", at positions 29 to 257 of the family's 1533-position model. The record is from RNAcentral.